This 78-nucleotide microRNA precursor is filed under the name Schistosoma mattheei. Its description in RNAcentral is "mir-3492 microRNA precursor family". It matches the Rfam family "mir-3492 microRNA precursor family". The record is from Rfam by way of RNAcentral. Lineage: Eukaryota; Metazoa; Platyhelminthes; Trematoda; Strigeidida; Schistosomatidae.
AGCUUUCUGAAUCUGUGCUGAGAUUUCGUCAGACACCAGCCCAUUAGUGCUGAUCAGACUCCCAAGUUUAGUGAGGUU